AUACUCAUGAAAUAAAGAAUACAUUAUAUUUUGUAAUCAUUUGUAGUGAAUGUUGUCUUUGGUAGUAUACUAAAUUGAGGUAAUAGGAAGGAAGGGAAAUGCGGGAAUGUAAUGAAUUAGGCUUAGAUGGCACAACAAGAAGAGAUAAAAUGGCAAAUAGCUUUGAGGGGCCACUUUGUUCUCUCUUUUAAUUUAUAAAAAAUAAUAAAUAGAUAUGAUCUGAUAGCUCCAAAGAAUUUGUCUUUUCUGUUAAUUUGAGACUGAUGAGAUUGGUCAUGGGGGCCAGGACUUAUGGAGGUUUGGAGUUGGAAAGUAAGGAGGAUGAUAUUGUAACUUAAUUAAUUUAAACAUAAUUUCUUAAUUACAUGUGUUAAUUUUAUAAUAAAACAUUCCGACCUUUGAUUACAAGAAUUAAUGGCAAAGAUGGAAGUUGCAUGUAACACACAAACAUGUUAGGAGCAUGUAAGAAUUCACCUCUAAUCAUAUAUGUAUAUAUGCAUACUCACAUGGAAGACUUAUGUUUACCAAGGUCUGCUUAAAAAUACUAAAAAAUUGUCACAACCACCCACCAAAUGCCUCUGUUCUUGAAAGGUAGGCCUACCCCAAUCAUUUUUUUAUUCUUCUAAUUUGUUUUCUAAUGGCUCGUUCUUUGGGAGUAAUGAGCACGAGAUUCCAAAACUAUGUUAAAGUGAUUCAAAUUGCAAUUUGUGAACUUGCAUGUUCAACGCAUUCACAUUCUCACUCAAAAACAGUUUCAUAAUAUAGUCAACUUGCAUGUGCAUAGCAUUCAGUCCAACAUCUGAGCUUUCAUUCGUUCUAGCUUUUCAAAUGGCUGAAUCUCUACUUCAAAUGGUGAUUGAAAACUUGCAAGCUUUUGUUCAGGACGAGCUUGCAACUCUUUGGGGCGUCCAUUCGCAGAUUCAAGAGCUGUCAGGGAACCUUGCUGCAAUCCAUGCAGUGCUCCAAGAUGCUGAAGAGAAGCAGAUCAGAGAGCGUGCUGUGAAGCUUUGGCUGCAGAAGCUUUCAGAUGCAGCACACGUGCUUGAUGAUAUCUUAGAUGAAUGUUCAAUAGAGUCCAACCGUCUACACAGUGAGCAGUGCUUAACUCGUCUUGAUCCUGUGACGAUUAUGUUUCGUCGAGACAUCGGUAAGAGGAUGAAAGAGAUGGUUGACAGGUUUCGUCAAAUUGAUGAAGAAAGGAGAAGGUUUGAAUUGCGUGGAAGAGUUCCAGAGAGGCAACAAGAAGAUGAAGCAUGGCGCCAGACAUGUUCUGGUAUCACGGAGCACAAUAUCUAUGGAAGGGAGCAAGACACAGAAAAUAUUGUGGAGUUUCUUUCAAGGAGUGCUGAUAGCAGUAACAACCUCUCUGUUUAUCCAAUUGUUGGCAUGGGGGGCCUUGGAAAAACAACUCUUGUCCGAUGGGUUUACAAUGACAAGAAGGUAAUUGAACAUUUCGAUCUGAGAAUUUGGGUUUGUGUUUCCACUGAAUUCAAUACCAUGAGAAUUCUAGAGUCCAUUGUGGAAUCUAUAAGUGGACAUAACCCAAACCUCUCUACUUUAGAAGCACUGAAAAACAAAGUUCAAGAAAUACUGCUAGGCAAAAGGUAUUUACUUGUUCUAGACGAUAUGUGGAGCACGGACAAAUGGGAGGACUUGAAGUCUGUUUUGCUUUGCGGAGGUGGGACAAAAGGUGCUGCAGUUUUGGUCACUACCCGAGUUGAGAGUGUUGCAUCUGUCAUGGGAACAUGCCCUGCUCAUCACUUGUCACCAUUAUCCGAGGAUGACAAUUGGUUAUUGUUCAAAUACCAUGCAUUUGGAUCAGACAAAGUGGAGCGCACAGAGCUUGUGGCAAUAGGCAAGGAGAUUGUAAAGAAAUGUGGUGGUUCCCCUCUUGCAUCUAAAGCACUUGGAAGCCUUUUGCGCAAUAAAAAGGAGGAAAUACAGUGGGUGAAUGUAUUGGAAAGUAAGUUUUGGGACAUACUUGAGGAUGAUGCUAUUAUUGUACGUGCUUUGAAAAUCAGCUACUUCAAUUUGAAGUUGUCAUUAAGACAAUGCUUUGCUUUCUGUGCCAUUUUCCCCGAAGAUUUUCGAAUGGAAAAGGAACAACUUAUUCAUCUUUGGAUGGCCAAUGGUUUGAUCAAAUCCAAAGGGAAGUUGGAGAUUGAGGAUGUUGGUAAUGUGGCUUGGGAGGAAUUAUGUCAGAGAUCAUUUUUCCAAGAAGUUGAGAUUGAUGAAUUGGGAAGAACUACAUUCAAGAUGCAUGAUUUAUUUCAUGAACUUGCCCAAUCCAUAAUGGGAGAAGAGUGCAGAGUUUAUGAUGAGUCUGCAAGCUUGACCAAUUUGUCUACAAGGGUCCACCAUGUCACUUGUUUAAAACCAGAGAUGGAGGUAAACAUGGAUCCCUUCAAGAAAGCUGAAUCCUUGAGGAGUAUGAUUAAUCUUCUUCCAUUAGAUGAUCAUCGCAAUCUUAAUGGGUUGCCACCAUUCAAUUCUCUCCGUGCACUACGUACAAAUGCUUCUCAACUCUCAGCACUGAAGAGUUUAACGCAUUUGAGGUACCUAAAUCUGCGUAGGAGUGGUAUCACAACACUGCCUAAAUGUGUUUCGAGGUUACAAAAAUUGCAGAUUCUGAAGUUAGAAGACUGUCUAAAUCUUUCUUGUUUGCCCAAACACGUAACACAAUUGAAGGAUCUUAGACAUCUCCUAAUUGAAGAAUGUCAUUCAUUAGUAGAGAUGCCUCCGACUAUCGGCGAGUUGAAAUGUUUGAGAACAUUGAAUCUUUUUAUUGUGGAUAAAAAGGCAGGGUAUGGGUUGUCAGAGUUACGUGAUUUACAGCUUGGAGGCAAACUACACAUCAAGGGGAUUGAAAAUGUCAUAAACGAGGGUGAUGCUAGAGAUGCUAAUUUGAGUGCUAAGAAGAAGUUGGAAAAGUUAUACCUGUCAUGGGGCUCCUCUGAUUCAAGGUUUGGUGCCAAUGCUGAGAGAAUACUUGAAGCCCUUGAGCCUCCCUCCAAUCUCAAGAGUUUUGGGAUGAAUGGUUACAGCGGAGUAGAGUUGCCUAGCUGGAUGCAAAAUACUUCAAUUCUUUCCAGCUUAGUUAUGGUGAUACUCUAUGAUUGCAAGAACUGCAAGCACCUUCCUCCGCUUGGUAAACUACCACAUUUAACCGUUCUUUAUAUAUCUGGAAUGAAAGAUGUGAAGUACAUCGAUGAGCACUCAUAUGAUGGCGUGGAUGAGAAGGCAUUCAAAUCGUUGAAGGACCUGACCUUAUCAAAGUUGCCAAACUUGGAAGGGAUGGUACAAGACAAAAGAGUAGAAAUGCUUCCACUUCUUUCUAGCAUAAACGUUUCUUGUGUUCCUAAGAUUAAAUUGCCACUCCUUCCAUCUCUAGAGCACAUUUGUAUUGAAGGAACAGAGUCAGACUCUGAUCAUGGUGAUAGCGAAGACAUGGCUUUGUCUUUCCCGGAAGCUAUUGUGGAGAAUAUGCAUCGUGUUAAGGUCCUCCAUAUUAAACACUUUCCUACACUCAAGGCAUUACCCCAUGAACUAGGCAGCCUCAAUUCACUACAAGAGUUAGAACUCUACUAUUUUGAUAGACUCGAGUCUUUUUCAGAGAACGUGGUGCAAGGUUUGGGUUCACUUCGAACUUUGAUUAUUGGUUGUUGUAAGGAACUGAAAUCUUUGUCUGAAGGUGUGAGACAUCUAACUUGUCUGGAGCGCCUUGAUAUCAUAUACUGUCCAAAGCUGGUGACUCUACCGAGUAGCAUGAAUCAGCUAGUUUCCCUUCGUCAUAGUUACAUCUAUUCUUGUGAUACAUUGCCAGAAGGCUUACAACAUGUCCCUUCCCUCCAAAGUUUGGAUGCGCGUAACUUACAUUCAAUUCCUGAGUGGUUGGGGGACUUAACUUCUCUUCAAAAGUUACAACUCCAAUGUGAGGGGUUAAGGUCACUGCCCAGUAGCUUCCGAAACCUGACAAACUUGCGUGAGCUAUCUAUUGGUGGGUGUCAUAAGGAGCUGCAGAAGCGAUGCACCAGAGUAACAGGAGAGGAUUGGCAAAACAUUGCUCACAUCCCACAAUUCAAAUUGUUUCCCAUUCGUCAAGAAACAUUUUCCGAUAAAAUCAGAUCCAAAUGGAGAUCAUGGCAGCUAAGAAGAGAUCGACGUCAUCAUCAUUUCGCUGAAGCUGAUACAUUUGACUAUCUGGUUGAAAGGCUCUUUCAUUGGUACAAAAUGUGAAAAUGGAUGAUGAUUGAACCCUGAUCAUGAGGUCAGAAACAUUGGAUGGAAUAGAAUACAGGAUGAUAUCCUUUUUGCCAUAAAUAUGUUGAAUCAACAGCCGCUUCCAUUUAGGCAAAGCUCAAGAGAUUUAUGGAUGCCAAUGAAUUACAGCUCAAAUGGCAUAGUCUUUCCAUACUUACCUAAGAGGGGUUCAGCCUAUGGGGGGAAGUAUUGGCACAAGUGAUUGCUAUCGCGACUUGUGGCCUCAUAUUUGCAGAAUGUGAUGUUUUAAUCAUAGCAUGGUUCCAAUUUCCAAUCAUGGCCUUGUAUAUUCAACUUCAUACGCUUGCAAUGCAGCUGGCUUGAAAAUUUUUCACAUCUUCAACAUAGUUUAUAGAAAUGGUCAAGGGGAAACCAAUUAUUUUCAGUUACAGUCGUGGGUUUCGCAAUGAUGAUAGAGUGAUGAUAGCUAAAGCAAUAGUCAAAAGUUGAUAGGAUAUAGAGAACUUGGGUUAUAGCAGGGCUUAGAGUUAUACGUUAGUUAGUUUGUUGUUUUUAUGAUCAAAAUAGUAGCAAUGACUUCAAAUUUGUAAUAAGAUGAUGUUGUUCUUCUUUUGCCUUUUUAAGAUGCAUUGUUAUUUCUUUGAA
This is a non-coding RNA of Arachis ipaensis, 4866 nucleotides long. The record is from RefSeq and is a predicted model, not a curated record. NCBI's taxonomy places the organism in Eukaryota, Viridiplantae, Streptophyta, Magnoliopsida, Fabales, Fabaceae.